RNAcentral lists this ribosomal RNA (497 nucleotides) under uncultured bacterium. RNAcentral describes it as "partial 16S ribosomal RNA". It matches the Rfam family "Bacterial small subunit ribosomal RNA", at positions 28 to 507 of the family's 1533-position model. The record is from RNAcentral.
GACGAACGCUGGCGGCGUGCCUAAUACAUGCCAGUUGAGCGCUGAAGGUUGGUACUUGUACCAACUGGAUGAGCAGCGAACGGGUGAGUAACGCGUGGGGAAUCUGCCUUUGAGCGGGGGACAACAUUUGGAAACGAAUGCUAAUACCGCAUAAAAACUUUAAACACAAGUUUUAAGUUUGAAAGAUGCAAUUGCAUCACUCAAAGAUGAUCCCGCGUUGUAUUAGCUAGUUGGUGAGGUAAAGGCUCACCAAGGCGAUGAUACAUAGCCGACCUGAGAGGGUGAUCAGCCACAUUGGGACUGAGACACGGCCCAAACUCCUACGGGAGGCAGCAGUAGGGAAUCUUCGGCAAUGGACGAAAGUCUGACCGAGCAACGCCGCGUGAGUGAAGAAGGUUUUCGGAUCGUAAAACUCUGUUGGUAGAGAAGAACGUUGGUGAGAGUGGAAAGCUCAUCAAGUGACGGUAACUACCCAGAAAGGGACGGCUAACUACGUG